Triticum aestivum (bread wheat) is the source of this 625-nucleotide long non-coding RNA. RefSeq lists it as uncharacterized. The transcript is spliced from 3 exons. Lineage: Eukaryota; Viridiplantae; Streptophyta; Magnoliopsida; Poales; Poaceae. The record is from RefSeq and is a predicted model, not a curated record.
CGCGUACGCCACCGCUCCGUGCGUACUCCCUCCAUCCGAAAAAACAUGUCCCUCAAAUGAAUAUAUCUAGCAUGAAGUUAGUGCUAGAUACAUCCAUUUGAGGAACAAGCUUGGCACAAGCUUUUUAGGACGGAGGGAGUAUCUCACAGCCGCGCCCGAUCUCUCCGAUCCCCACGCGAUACUCACGCUUAUGCACCACCCCGGGACACCCUCGUUCUGCUCUUCCGAUUCCCUGCCUCGCCUCGCGGGACAGAGCUCGAUAUCGAGCGUAGCAACCCCGGUGAGCUCCGCCAUCCUAAGCAGCGCCGACGUGAAAUUCUCCCGCCUCGGACCGCACCAAAUCGACCUCCCCAGCAAAACAAAUCUCGCCGGAGCAUACCAUCACCGUUGCAUGUUCAUCCGCCCACCAUCGUCGCUACAGGAUGCACCGGAACUCCCCGAGGACACCAAAGGCCUCCCCAUGAACCUCCUAGUCUUCCAGCAUCUUCACCGAUCUCCUACGGCCAUCGGGAGCAACGCCGUCGCCGAUCAGGGCCAUCGCCGUCUCCUCUAUUCCAAUUGCUCGGAGCGUGACGAGUAGAAUUAUCAGGAAUUGUGAGUACGACGAUCUUCAUCAAACUUACAG